AUUAUUAAAUCUUAACAAAGAUGACGUAUUGCAAAAAAAGAAAAAGAAAACAUAUUGUAGUUUGCAAGUAUGAGUGCUUCUAGAUUAUUUGAUUUCGAGGAUUUGAGGAUUUGCUACGAGCUUCGGCGGAGGUUUUGGGAAAAGGGACGUUCGGGACUGCGUACAAGGCAGUGUUGGAGGGCGGGAUGAUGGUGGCGGUGAAGAGAUUGAAGGAUGUUACAGUGUCGGAGCCUGAGUUUAGGGAGAACAUUGAAUUUGUCUACGAUUAUAUGCCAAUGGGAAGUCUUUCUGCACUUCUUCAUGUAUCAGUCAGAUGAGGCGUGCAUGCGUACGGUGCAGUGUGGUGCUGCUGAUGAGGCGUGCGUGCGGUGUAGUCGCUGCUGCUGUGUGCGGCUUUUCUGCUGUGGUGUGCGUAGAAUACAGUGCUGCUGCUGAGGCGUUCGUGUGGUGCAGUCGCGACUGUUGCGUGUGGCGCUGCUGCUGCGACUGUUUGAUGAGCUUGAUUAACCGUUGGCAUUAACUUUUUAUCUUUCCUCUUAAUAAAUCAAUAAUCAUAGGGAGCUUGCAAAAGAUUUUGUGGUGGCUGGUACUACAUCAGAGUCUCUGAGUCUCUGUAUGGUGCCUGUGAGUCGAUGUUCAAGCCAGACAUGGUACAAGGUGGAUAAAGAUGCUAUGCUAGAUACGAUGUCACAAAUUGAAGCUACGUUAACAAGUAUAAUUUGAAGAUAGGCUACAAACACUUGGUUUUGAAUGUUUAUCGUAU
RNAcentral lists this long non-coding RNA (763 nucleotides) under Helianthus annuus (common sunflower). Lineage: Eukaryota; Viridiplantae; Streptophyta; Magnoliopsida; Asterales; Asteraceae. The record is from RNAcentral.